UACGGAGGGUGCAAGCGUUAUCCGGAUUUACUGGGUUUAAAGGGUGCGUAGGUGGGUCUGUAAGUCAGUGGUGAAAUCUCCGAGCUUAACUCGGAAACUGCCAUUGAUACUAUAGGUCUUGAAUAUCCUGGAGGUGAGCGGAAUAUGUCAUGUAGCGGUGAAAUGCUUAGAUAUGACAUAGAACACCAAUUGCGAAGGCAGCUCACUACGGGAUUAUUGACACUGAGGCACGAAAGCGUGGGGAUCAAACAGG
This 253-nucleotide ribosomal RNA is filed under the name uncultured bacterium. RNAcentral describes it as "partial 16S ribosomal RNA". It matches the Rfam family "Bacterial small subunit ribosomal RNA", at positions 524 to 776 of the family's 1533-position model. The record is from RNAcentral.